GAUGAACGCUAGCUACAGGCUUAACACAUGCAAGUCGAGGGGCAGCAUGAAUAUUGGCUUGCCAAUAUUUGAUGGCGACCGGCGCACGGGUGAGUAACACGUAUCCAACCUUCCGGUUACUCGGGGAUAGGCUUUCGAAAGAAAGAUUAAUACCCGAUGUUGUGUAUCUUUCUCCUGAAAGAUACGCCAAAGGAUUCCGGUAACCGAUGGGGAUGCGUUCCAUUAGGCAGUUGGCGGGGUAACGGCCCACCAAACCUUCGAUGGAUAGGGGUUCUGAGAGGAAGGUCCCCCACAUUGGAACUGAGACACGGUCCAAACUCCUACGGGAGGCAGCAGUGAGGAAUAUUGGUCAAUGGACGGAAGUCUGAACCAGCCAAGUAGCGUGAAGGAUGACUGCCCUCUGGGUUGUAAACUUCUUUUAUACGGGAAUAACAUGAGGUACGCGUACCUUAUUGCAUGUACCGUUAUGAAUAAGCAUCGGCUAACUCCGUGCCAGCAGCCGCGGUAAUACGGAGGAUGCGAGCGUUAUCCGGAUUUAUUGGGUUUAAAGGGAGCGUAGGUGGGAUAUUAAGUCAGCUGUGAAAGUUUGGGGCUCAACCUUAAAAUUGCAGUUGAUACUGGUUUCCUUGAGUACGGUACAGGUGGGCGGAAUUCGUGGUGUAGCGGUGAAAUGCUUAGAUAUCACGAAGAACUCCGAUCGCGAAGGCAGCUCACCGGGCCGGAACUGACACUGAUGCUCGAAAGUGCGGGUAUCAAACAGGAUUAGAUACCCUGGUAGUCCGCACAGUAAACGAUGAAUACUCGCUGUUUGCGAUACACUGUAAGCGGCCAAGCGAAAGCGUUAAGUAUUCCACCUGGGGAGUACGCCGGCAACGGUGAAACUCAAAGGAAUUGACGGGGGCCCGCACAAGCGGAGGAACAUGUGGUUUAAUUCGAUGAUACGCGAGGAACCUUACCCGGGCUUAAACUGCGCUGGCUUUUACCGGAAACGGUAUUUUCUUCGGACCAGCGUGAAGGUGCUGCAUGGUUGUCGUCAGCUCGUGCCGUGAGGUGUCGGCUUAAGUGCCAUAACGAGCGCAACCCUUAUCUUUAGUUACUAACAGUUUUGCUGAGGACUCUAAAGAGACUGCCGUCGUAAGAUGCGAGGAAGGUGGGGAUGACGUCAAAUCAGCACGGCCCUUACGUCCGGGGCUACACACGUGUUACAAUGGGGAGCACAGCAGGUUGCUACACGGCGACGUGAUGCCAAUCCGUAAAACUCCUCUCAGUUCGGAUCGAAGUCUGCAACCCGACUUCGUGAAGCUGGAUUCGCUAGUAAUCGCGCAUCAGCCACGGCGCGGUGAAUACGUUCCCGGGCCU
RNAcentral lists this ribosomal RNA (1359 nucleotides) under uncultured bacterium. Its description in RNAcentral is "bacterial SSU rRNA". It matches the Rfam family "Bacterial small subunit ribosomal RNA", at positions 28 to 1381 of the family's 1533-position model. The record is from RNAcentral.